GGCCGGGUUAGACGGCUGUCCCAACGGAGGAAGUCCGUCCACCAUCAAAAGCGCAGCCCGUAAGGGCCGGGUUAAGCACCCGGGCUCUGCUACAGAAACGACACCAACCUGCUCCAUAAAGCUAUGAAGUUUAACAGAGCGGAACAGGUUGGAUGAAACGAGCAUCCUGCGCGGUGAAAGGCGUUUGCCGAUUAGACAAAUGCCGUCACAGGGCUUGCUGGCAUGAAAAUGCCAUAUGCACCCUGAACAAAAGACGGACUAUUACCCGGCC
Molecule: RNase P RNA, 271 nt
Filed under: Candidatus Aenigmatarchaeota archaeon
Lineage: Archaea; Nanobdellati; Candidatus Aenigmatarchaeota
Description: RNase P RNA component
Rfam family: Archaeal RNase P
About the family: Ribonuclease P (RNase P) is a ubiquitous endoribonuclease, found in archaea, bacteria and eukarya as well as chloroplasts and mitochondria. Its best characterised activity is the generation of mature 5'-ends of tRNAs by cleaving the 5'-leader elements of precursor-tRNAs.
Source: RNAcentral